RNAcentral lists this ribosomal RNA (462 nucleotides) under Enterobacter chengduensis. Its description in RNAcentral is "bacterial SSU rRNA". It matches the Rfam family "Bacterial small subunit ribosomal RNA", at positions 1 to 459 of the family's 1533-position model. Lineage: Bacteria; Pseudomonadati; Pseudomonadota; Gammaproteobacteria; Enterobacterales; Enterobacteriaceae. The record is from RNAcentral.
AAAUUGAAGAGUUUGAUCAUGGCUCAGAUUGAACGCUGGCGGCAGGCCUAACACAUGCAAGUCGAGCGGUAGCACAGAGGAGCUUGCUCCUCGGGUGACGAGCGGCGGACGGGUGAGUAAUGUCUGGGAAACUGCCUGAUGGAGGGGGAUAACUACUGGAAACGGUAGCUAAUACCGCAUAACGUCGCAAGACCAAAGAGGGGGACCUUCGGGCCUCUUGCCAUCAGAUGUGCCCAGAUGGGAUUAGCUAGUAGGUGGGGUAACGGCUCACCUAGGCGACGAUCCCUAGCUGGUCUGAGAGGAUGACCAGCCACACUGGAACUGAGACACGGUCCAGACUCCUACGGGAGGCAGCAGUGGGGAAUAUUGCACAAUGGGCGCAAGCCUGAUGCAGCCAUGCCGCGUGUAUGAAGAAGGCCUUCGGGUUGUAAAGUACUUUCAGCGGGGAGGAAGGUGUUGAGG